This 1398-nucleotide ribosomal RNA is filed under the name Klebsiella pneumoniae. Its description in RNAcentral is "bacterial SSU rRNA". It matches the Rfam family "Bacterial small subunit ribosomal RNA". The record is from RNAcentral. Lineage: Bacteria; Pseudomonadati; Pseudomonadota; Gammaproteobacteria; Enterobacterales; Enterobacteriaceae.
ACACAUGCAAGUCGAGCGGUAGCACAGAGAGCUUGCUCUCGGGUGACGAGCGGCGGACGGGUGAGUAAUGUCUGGGAAACUGCCUGAUGGAGGGGGAUAACUACUGGAAACGGUAGCUAAUACCGCAUAACGUCGCAAGACCAAAGUGGGGGACCUUCGGGCCUCAUGCCAUCAGAUGUGCCCAGAUGGGAUUAGCUAGUAGGUGGGGUAACGGCUCACCUAGGCGACGAUCCCUAGCUGGUCUGAGAGGAUGACCAGCCACACUGGAACUGAGACACGGUCCAGACUCCUACGGGAGGCAGCAGUGGGGAAUAUUGCACAAUGGGCGCAAGCCUGAUGCAGCCAUGCCGCGUGUGUGAAGAAGGCCUUCGGGUUGUAAAGCACUUUCAGCGGGGAGGAAGGCGGUAAGGUUAAUAACCUUGUCGAUUGACGUUACCCGCAGAAGAAGCACCGGCUAACUCCGUGCCAGCAGCCGCGGUAAUACGGAGGGUGCAAGCGUUAAUCGGAAUUACUGGGCGUAAAGCGCACGCAGGCGGUCUGUCAAGUCGGAUGUGAAAUCCCCGGGCUCAACCUGGGAACUGCAUUCGAAACUGGCAGGCUAGAGUCUUGUAGAGGGGGGUAGAAUUCCAGGUGUAGCGGUGAAAUGCGUAGAGAUCUGGAGGAAUACCGGUGGCGAAGGCGGCCCCCUGGACAAAGACUGACGCUCAGGUGCGAAAGCGUGGGGAGCAAACAGGAUUAGAUACCCUGGUAGUCCACGCCGUAAACGAUGUCGAUUUGGAGGUUGUGCCCUUGAGGCGUGGCUUCCGGAGCUAACGCGUUAAAUCGACCGCCUGGGGAGUACGGCCGCAAGGUUAAAACUCAAAUGAAUUGACGGGGGCCCGCACAAGCGGUGGAGCAUGUGGUUUAAUUCGAUGCAACGCGAAGAACCUUACCUGGUCUUGACAUCCACAGAACUUAGCAGAGAUGCUUUGGUGCCUUCGGGAACUGUGAGACAGGUGCUGCAUGGCUGUCGUCAGCUCGUGUUGUGAAAUGUUGGGUUAAGUCCCGCAACGAGCGCAACCCUUAUCCUUUGUUGCCAGCGGUCCGGCCGGGAACUCAAAGGAGACUGCCAGUGAUAAACUGGAGGAAGGUGGGGAUGACGUCAAGUCAUCAUGGCCCUUACGACCAGGGCUACACACGUGCUACAAUGGCAUAUACAAAGAGAAGCGACCUCGCGAGAGCAAGCGGACCUCAUAAAGUAUGUCGUAGUCCGGAUUGGAGUCUGCAACUCGACUCCAUGAAGUCGGAAUCGCUAGUAAUCGUAGAUCAGAAUGCUACGGUGAAUACGUUCCCGGGCCUUGUACACACCGCCCGUCACACCAUGGGAGUGGGUUGCAAAAGAAGUAGGUAGCUUAACCU